GGUUGGUUAGAAAUCUAUACUUUAAUAUGUCAAAACUGAUUAUCCAUGAGUAAAAGCAUCAAUAGGCUUUCUUUGAUAGAUUGAAUUGCCAAAAGAGAUAAGAUUUAGUGGUUUUAAAUGAUCGAAGCCAUAUGGAUGGUGACCACAUAUGAUCAUAACCAAACAAAUGUAUGUCACCAGAUAAGCCUAGUUGUUACUAUAAAUAUACACAGAUGCAUAUGCAGAUGUGUAUGUACAUUUACAUAUGGGCAAAUAUAAGUGCGUAUGUGCAUGUACGCGUGUGUGUGUGUGCGCGUGCGUGUGUGUCUGUGUGUGUGUGUCAAAGGCAGCCAUGCAUAAGGACAGAAAAGAGAGCACUCGCAAGGAAAGAGAACAAGGAAUAAAAAUGAAUACAGACCCAAAAAAAAUUCUAGUUGGAUUGCCACUUACUUUAACGACUGAUUUUGUUUAUUACAACAUGUCAUUCUUACCCUCUACAAAUGUGAAGAGAAAAAAAAGGGUAACCAACAAGAAUGCCCCUAAAUAAAAGCAUCUCUCUCCAUACAUGCAUUAGAAAUUUCCCAAAACCCCACAAAUUAAAAAUAAAAAUAAAAAUAAAAUUCAAAUA
Molecule: long non-coding RNA, 607 nt
Filed under: Elaeis guineensis (African oil palm)
Lineage: Eukaryota; Viridiplantae; Streptophyta; Magnoliopsida; Arecales; Arecaceae
Description: long non-coding RNA (EGUI_LNC079120)
Source: RNAcentral